AUACGGAGGGUGCGAGCGUUGUUCGGAAUUAUUGGGCGUAAAGCGCGCGUAGGCGGUUUGUUAAGUCUGAUGUGAAAGCCCCGGGCUCAACCUGGGAAGUACAUUGGAUACUGGCAGACUUGAAUACGGGAGAGGGCAGUGGAAUUCCUGGUGUAGGAGUGAAAUCCGUAGAUAUCAGGAGGAACACCGGUGGCGAAGGCGGCUGCCUGGACCGAUAUUGACGCUGAGACGCGAAAGCGUGGGUAGC
This 247-nucleotide ribosomal RNA is filed under the name uncultured bacterium. Its description in RNAcentral is "partial 16S ribosomal RNA". It matches the Rfam family "Bacterial small subunit ribosomal RNA", at positions 523 to 769 of the family's 1533-position model. The record is from RNAcentral.